CAGUAGCCACGGUAAUACAGAGGUCCCGAGCGUUGUUCGGAUUCACUGGGCGUAAAGGGUGUGUAGGAGGUUGGAUAAGUCAGGUGUGAAAUCCCGCAGCUCAACUGCGGAACUGCAUUUGAUACUGUUCAACUAGAGGAUCGGAGGGGGAAGCGGAAUUCUUGGUGUAGCGGUGAAAUGCGUAGAUAUCAAGAGGAACACCGGUGGCGAAGGCGGCUUCCUGGAAGAUACCUGACUCUGAAACACGAAAGCCAGGGGAGCGAAUGGGAUUAGAUACCCCCGUAGUCCCUGUCUCUUAUAA
Molecule: ribosomal RNA, 301 nt
Filed under: uncultured bacterium
Lineage: Bacteria
Description: partial 16S ribosomal RNA
Rfam family: Bacterial small subunit ribosomal RNA
Source: RNAcentral